RNAcentral lists this ribosomal RNA (490 nucleotides) under uncultured bacterium. Its description in RNAcentral is "partial 16S ribosomal RNA". It matches the Rfam family "Bacterial small subunit ribosomal RNA", at positions 28 to 507 of the family's 1533-position model. The record is from RNAcentral.
GAUGAACGCUGGCGAUAGGCUUAACACAUGCAAGUCGAGGGGCAGCAUGGUCUUAGCUUGCUCAGGCUGAUGGCGACCGGCGCACGGGUGCGUAACGCGUAUGCAACUUGCCUCACAGAGGGGGAUAACCCGCCGAAAGACAGACUAAUACCGCGUACACUCUAUUUUGGGCAUCCAAUGUAGAGGAAAUGAAAUUCGCUGUGAGAUAGGCAUGCGUCCCAUUAGCUAGUUGGUGAGGUAACGGCUCACCAAGGCGACGAUGGGUAGGGGAACUGAGAGGUGGAACCCCCACACUGGUACUGAGACACGGACCAGACUCCUACGGGAGGCAGCAGUGAGGAAGAUUGGGCAAUGGGCGAGAGCCUGAACCAGCCAGGUCGCGUGAAGGAUGACUGUCUUAUGGAUUGUAAACUUCUGUUAUACGGGAAUAACAAGAGUCACGUGUGGCUCCCUGCAUGUACCGUAUGAAUAAGCAUCGGCUAACUCCGUG